Molecule: unclassified non-coding RNA, 379 nt
Filed under: uncultured bacterium
Lineage: Bacteria
Description: contains 16S-23S intergenic spacer region
Source: RNAcentral
UCCGACUUGACGUCGGCAGUCUCGUUAGAGUGCCCAACUUAAUGCUGGCAACUAACGACAGAGGUUGCGCUCGUUGCGGGACUUAACCCAACACCUCACGACACGAGCUGACGACAGCCAUGCAGCACCUCGACUCUAGUCCCUUGCGGGAAAACCGUGUUUCCACAGUCGUUCACGAGCCGUUCGAGCCCAGGUAAGGUUCUUCGCGUUGCGUCGAAUUGAACCACAUGCUCCACCGCUUGUGCGGGCCCCCGUCAAUUCCUUUGAGUUUCAGCCUUGCGGCCGCACUCCCCAGGCGGGGUACUUAUUGCGUUAGCGACGGCACCGAAAGGGUCGCUCCCCCCGGCGCCUAGUACCCAUCGUUUACGGCGUGGACUAC